Molecule: ribosomal RNA, 810 nt
Filed under: Escherichia coli
Lineage: Bacteria; Pseudomonadati; Pseudomonadota; Gammaproteobacteria; Enterobacterales; Enterobacteriaceae
Description: partial 23S ribosomal RNA
Rfam family: Bacterial large subunit ribosomal RNA
Source: RNAcentral
ACAUUGAGCCUUGAUGUGUAGGAUAGGUGGGAGGCUUUGAAGUGUGGACGCCAGUCUGCAUGGAGCCGGCCUUGAAAUACCACCCUUUAAUGUUUGAUGUUCUAACGUUGACCCGUGAUCCGGGUUGCGGACAGUGUCUGGUGGGUAGUUUGACUGGGGCGGUCUCCUCCUAAAGAGUAACGGAGGAGCACGAAGGUUGGCUAAUCCUGGUCGGACAUCAGGAGGUUAGUGCAAUGGCAUAAGCCAGCUUGACUGCGAGCGUGACGGCGCGAGCAGGUGCGAAAGCAGGUCAUAGUGAUCCGGUGGUUCUGAAUGGAAGGGCCAUCGCUCAACGGAUAAAAGGUACUCCGGGGAUAACAGGCUGAUACCGCCCAAGAGUUCAUAUCGACGGCGGUGUUUGGCACCUCGAUGUCGGCUCAUCACAUCCUGGGGCUGAAGUAGGUCCCAAGGGUAUGGCUGUUCGCCAUUUAAAGUGGUACGCGAGCUGGGUUUAGAACGUCGUGAGACAGUUCGGUCCCUAUCUGCCGUGGGCGCUGGAGAACUGAGGGGGGCUGCUCCUAGUACGAGAGGACCGGAGUGGACGCAUCACUGGUGUUCGGGUUGUCAUGCCAAUGGCACUGCCCGGUAGCUAAAUGCGGAAGAGAUAAGUGCUGAAAGCAUCUAAGCACGAAACUUGCCCCGAGAUGAGUUCUCCCUGACUCCUUGAGAGUCCUGAAGGAACGUUGAAGACGACGACGUUGAUAGGCCGGGUGUGUAAGCGCAGCGAUGCGUUGAGCUAACCGGUACUAAUGAACCGUGAGGCUUAACCUU